GUGGAUUAGAUACCCUGGUAGUCCACGCCCUAAACUAUGUCAACUGGUUGUCGGGGGAGCAAUCCCUUGGUAACGAAGCUAACGCGUGAAGUUGACCGCCUGGGGAGUACGGCCGCAAGGUUAAAACUCAAAGGAAUUGACGGGGACCCGCACAAGCGGUGGAUUAUGUGGAUUAAUUCGAUGCAACGCGAAAAACCUUACCUACCCUUGACAUGUACGGAACCUCGCAGAGAUGUGAGGGUGCUCGAAAGAGAACCGUAACACAGGUGCUGCACGGCCGUCGCCAACU
RNAcentral lists this ribosomal RNA (289 nucleotides) under uncultured bacterium. RNAcentral describes it as "partial 16S ribosomal RNA". It matches the Rfam family "Bacterial small subunit ribosomal RNA", at positions 773 to 1060 of the family's 1533-position model. The record is from RNAcentral.